RNAcentral lists this ribosomal RNA (434 nucleotides) under uncultured Oscillospiraceae bacterium. RNAcentral's name for it is "partial 16S ribosomal RNA". It matches the Rfam family "Bacterial small subunit ribosomal RNA", at positions 341 to 792 of the family's 1533-position model. The record is from RNAcentral. Lineage: Bacteria; Bacillati; Bacillota; Clostridia; Eubacteriales; Oscillospiraceae.
ACGGAAGGCAGCAGUGGGGAAUAUUGGGCAAUGGGGGAAACCCUGACCCAGCAACGCCGCGUGAAGGAAGAAGGCCUUCGGGUUGUAAACUUCUUUUACCAGGGACGAUAAUGACGGUACCUGGAGAAAAAGCAACGGCUAACUACGUGCCAGCAGCCGCGGUAAUACGUAGGUUGCAAGCGUUGUCCGGAUUUACUGGGUGUAAAGGGCGUGUAGGCGGAGCUGCAAGUCAGAUGUGAAAUCCCGGGGCUCAACCCCGGAACUGCAUUUGAAACUGUAGCCCUUGAUUAUCGGAGAGGCAAGCGGAAUUCCUAGUGUAGCGGUGAAAUGCGUAGAUAUUAGGAGGAACACCAGUGGCGAAGGCGGCUUGCUGGACGACAACUGACGCUGAGGCGCGAAAGCGUGGGGAGCAAACAGGAUUAGAUACCCUGGUA